AUACCUUUCUCGGCCUUUUGGCUAAGAUCAAGUGUAGUAUCUGUUCUUAUCAGUUUAAUAUCUGAUACGUGGGCCAUCGGCCCACUCGAUAUUAAUCUAAUUUUUUAAAAUCUGGAAUUGAGUGGGGACUGUUGGCUUUUCAAACAAGUUGAGCUAUUGUUUUUUAAAUGUUAAAAUUGAAGACGU
Molecule: small nuclear RNA, 186 nt
Filed under: Helianthus annuus (common sunflower)
Lineage: Eukaryota; Viridiplantae; Streptophyta; Magnoliopsida; Asterales; Asteraceae
Description: U2 spliceosomal RNA
Rfam family: U2 spliceosomal RNA
About the family: U2 is a small nuclear RNA (snRNA) component of the spliceosome (involved in pre-mRNA splicing). Complementary binding between U2 snRNA (in an area lying towards the 5' end but 3' to hairpin I) and the branchpoint sequence (BPS) of the intron results the bulging out of an unpaired adenosine, on the BPS, which initiates a nucleophilic attack at the intronic 5' splice site, thus starting the first of two transesterification reactions that mediate splicing.
Source: RNAcentral